UACGGGGGGUGCAAGCGUUAAUCGGAAUCACUGGGCGUAAAGGGUGCGUAGGCGGUGCAUUAGGUCUGUCGUGAAAUCCCCGGGCUCAACCUGGGAAUGGCGGUGGAAACCGGUGUACUAGAGUAUGGGAGAGGGUGGUGGAAUUCCAGGUGUAGCGGUGAAAAGCGUAGAGAUCUGGAGGAACAUCAGUGGCGAAGGCGGCCACCUGGCCCAAUACUGACACUGAGGCACGAAAUCCAGGGGAGCGAACGGG
This 253-nucleotide ribosomal RNA is filed under the name uncultured bacterium. Its description in RNAcentral is "partial 16S ribosomal RNA". It matches the Rfam family "Bacterial small subunit ribosomal RNA", at positions 524 to 776 of the family's 1533-position model. The record is from RNAcentral.